Molecule: long non-coding RNA, 363 nt
Filed under: Trifolium pratense (red clover)
Lineage: Eukaryota; Viridiplantae; Streptophyta; Magnoliopsida; Fabales; Fabaceae
Description: long non-coding RNA (TPRA_LNC001185)
Source: RNAcentral
UCGGUAUCGUGUUCGUGUCCGAAAAGUAUAAGGACAUUUUAGAUGGGGUUUGAGAAAAUGACAUAACAGAUGGGGUUUGAAGAGGGUAGAUGUAUGCAAUCUCUAGUACCUUACAUGUUAUUAAUGAUAAAGGAAAUAAAUUGAGAACAUUAAAUUACCUUCUAUAAACAACAGGAACAAUACCAGCUUUAUAUUGAGCAAUGUGUUGGAAAACAGGUUGAGAGAGAUCAAAAUGGUGAUUGGGAGGGUCACACCAACCACCAGGUGGACAGAAAUUAGUGGCAGUAACAACAAUGGAGCCAGGGAGACACCAUUUUGGAUCAUUUGCACAUUUAAUUUCAUAGCAUGAACCACAACUCAAAC